GAUGAACGCUGGCGGCGUGCCUAAUACAUGCAAGUCGAACGAAACUUCUUUAUCACCGAGUGCUUGCACUCACCGAUACAGAGUUGAGUGGCGAACGGGUGAGUAACACGUGGGCAACCUGCCCAAAAGAGGGGGAUAACACUUGGAAGCAGGUGCUAAUACCGCAUAACCAUAGUUACCGCAUGGUAACUAUGUAGAAGGUAGCUAUGCUACCGCUGUUGGAUGGGCGCGCGGCGCAUUAGCUAGUUGGUAGGGUAAAGGCUUACCAAGGCAAUGAUGCGUAGACGAAUUGAGAGGUUGAUAGGCCACAUUGGGACUGAGACACGGACCAAACUCCUGCGGGAGGCAGCAGUAGGGAAUCUGCCACAACGGGCGAAAGCCUGACGGAGCAACGCCGCGUGUGUGAAGAAGGUCUUCGGAUCGUAAAACCCUGUUGUUAGAGAAGAAAGUGCGUGGGAGUAACUGUUCACGUUUCGACGGUAUCUAACCAGAAAGCCACGGCUAACUACGUG
This 512-nucleotide ribosomal RNA is filed under the name uncultured bacterium. Its description in RNAcentral is "partial 16S ribosomal RNA". It matches the Rfam family "Bacterial small subunit ribosomal RNA", at positions 28 to 507 of the family's 1533-position model. The record is from RNAcentral.